UGGGGAAUAUUGCACAAUGGGCGAAAGCCUGAUGCAGCAACGCCGCGUGAGUGAUGAAGGCCUUCGGGUUGUAAAGCUCUGUCUUUUGGGACGAUAAUGACGGUACCAAAGGAGGAAGCCACGGCUAACUACGUGCCAGCAGCCGCGGUAAUACGUAGGUGGCAAGCGUUGUCCGGAUUUACUGGGCGUAAAGGAUGCGUAGGCGGAUUUUUAAGUGAGAUGUGAAAUACCCGGGCUUAACUUGGGUGCUGCAUUUCAAACUGGGAAUCUAGAGUGCGGGAGAGGAGAAUGGAAUUCCUAGUGUAGCGGUGAAAUGCGUAGAGAUUAGGAAGAACACCAGUGGCGAAGGCGAUUCUCUGGACCGUAACUGACGCUGAGGCAUGAAAGCGUGGGUAGCAAACAGGAUUAGAUACCCUGGUAAUCCACGCCGUAAACGAUGAGUACUAGGUGUAGGAGGUAUCGACCCCUUCUGUGCCGCAGUUAACACAAUAAGUACUCCGCCUGGGAAGUACGAUCGCAAGAUUAAAACUCAAAGGAAUUGACGGGGUCAUAGCUG
RNAcentral lists this ribosomal RNA (556 nucleotides) under uncultured bacterium. RNAcentral's name for it is "partial 16S ribosomal RNA". It matches the Rfam family "Bacterial small subunit ribosomal RNA", at positions 355 to 932 of the family's 1533-position model. The record is from RNAcentral.